CGGUAAUUCCAGCUCCAAUAGCGUAUACUAAAGUUGUUGCAGUUAAAAAGCUCGUAGUUGGAUUUCUGCGGGGACGGAGCGGCCGGACGCAACUUGCGUCUCGAGCUAGCGCUUUCCCCGCAUCCUGCCGCGAACCGUGCUACCAUUAGUUUGGUGGCGCUGGGGAUCGGCUCGAUUACUUUGAGAAAAAUAGAGUGUUCAAAGCAGGCCACACGCCUUGAAUAAGUUAGCAUGGAAUAAUGACUAAGGACUUUGGUUCUUUUCGUUGGUGUUCGGGACUGAAGUAAUGAUUGAUAGGGACAGUUGGGGCGGUCCGUAUUCCAAAGCGAGAGGUGAAAUUCUUAGACCUUCGGAAGACGAACAGCUGCGAAAGCGUUCCGCAAGGAUGUUCCCUUUGAUCAAGAACGAAAGUUGGGGGAUCGAAGACGAUCAGAUACCGUCGUAGUCUCAACUAUAAACUAUACCAGCUAGGGAUCGGCCAACGUUUAAUUAUUCGACUUGGUCGGCACCUUAUGAGAAAUCAAAGCAUCUGGGUUCCGGGGGGAGUAUGGUCGCAAGGCUGAAACUUAAAGGAAUUGACGGAAGGGCACCACCGGGCGUGGAGCCUGUGGCUUAAUUUGACUCAACACGGGAAAACUUACCAGGUCCAGACAUAGGAAGGAUUGACAGAUUGAUAGCUCUUUCUUGAUUCUGUGGGUGGUGGUGCAUGGCCGUUUUUAGUCGGUGAAGUGAUUUGUCUGCUUAAUUGCGUUAACGGACGAGACCCCAGCCUGCUAAAUAGCGCGGCCGAGCUUUGCUCGGUACGAGCUUCUUAGAGGGACCAUGAUGCGCGAUAGCACAAGGAAGUUUGGGGCAACAACAGGUCUGUGAUGCCCUUAGAUGUUCUGGGCCGCACACGGGCUACACUGGCGCCUGCAACGAGCAUAUCAGCUGGCCCGAGAGGGUCUUGGCUAAUCUUUGGAACCGGCGCCGUGCUUGGGAUUGACCAUUGCAAUUGUUGGUCAUGCAACGAGGAAUGCCUUGUAAACGCGAGUCAUCAGCUCGCAUUGAAUACGUCCCUGCUCCUUGUACACACCGCCC
This 1080-nucleotide ribosomal RNA is filed under the name uncultured Rhizaria. RNAcentral's name for it is "SSU rRNA". It matches the Rfam family "Eukaryotic small subunit ribosomal RNA", at positions 577 to 1674 of the family's 1831-position model. The record is from RNAcentral.